Long non-coding RNA from Chinchilla lanigera (long-tailed chinchilla), 517 nucleotides. RefSeq lists it as uncharacterized. The record is from RefSeq and is a predicted model, not a curated record. NCBI's taxonomy places the organism in Eukaryota, Metazoa, Chordata, Mammalia, Rodentia, Chinchillidae. The transcript has 3 exons.
UUGCAAUGACUGUGGACUCUUAUUCAGGCCUGACAGGGCACAACUUAUUUGUCAGGGCUGACAGUCCAUUUUUUCCUCAGUCAAAAUGUGGAACUGAGAAGGAAAUGUUGACCGUCAUCUCAGGCAUGUGUUAGAUGACACCGUCUCACCAGGACAGGUGUGAUAAAGAAUUCGAGGAACGCUGCUUCCAGGUCGCAUCCUGUGGAAGGGGGCUGCUGAAACGUCUGAGUCCAUCCCCACCUCCUCAUCUACCUUGUUCACCAGAACUGGUGCUGUGCGACCUUUGGCUGUUCUCUCAAGUAAAAGGGAUCACAAAAGGAGAGAGGAGAGAAGCAUAAUAGAGGACGUGUCCUGAAGAAGCAGCAGGAGAUGCAAUCCAGAGAAGAGUAGAGAGUUUUGCUUUGACCCAGUCCUGGACUCACCACAAUAAUAGAACAGAUCGAUUAUUUGAUUCACACAUCACAUAGCCACUUUCAGAUCCAGAUUUCUUACACUGGACUUCCUCAACUCCUCUGUA